Long non-coding RNA from Pipra filicauda (Wire-tailed manakin), 551 nucleotides. RefSeq lists it as uncharacterized. The record is from RefSeq and is a predicted model, not a curated record. NCBI's taxonomy places the organism in Eukaryota, Metazoa, Chordata, Aves, Passeriformes, Pipridae. The transcript is spliced from 2 exons.
UCACCCCAUGCUGAGCAUUCUUUGAGGAGCAACCCCAAAUGAUGGACUCAGCCUCCUUCACCCCAACCCAAGAGCCUGCAAGGCUCAGGUCAACAAGACUCAGCAUCCAAAUUGCUGAAAGCAGGAGAGGUGGCACUUUUUCGGUCUUGGAAGCAGAAUAGUCUGUUGUGUGGAGAAUUAGUUAAAUACCAGUAAAUAAACACUGUUAUAGCCAUCAGCUAAGCCUACAAAGGCGGGACUCUGCUUGGAGCACCCCUGUUUGUCCUGUGCUGCAACACCUCUGGCAGAAGAUGAACCCUGUAGGAAGGGGCACGGUAGAGAUGUCACAGCUGGACUGUGCCAGAGUCUGAGGCAAGUCCCAGUGAGAGUCACUGAGUGUAUGGAUGGUUUGUGUCAACGCCUUCAGCUUUGUACCAACACCUUCCCUGCAAAAAGAUUAAAGGUUUUGGGAAGAAUGAACUUGAACAUCAUGAAGCAAAGCUAAAUAAAUCAACACAGGGGUCUCACCACAGUCACCUACACAACAAAGUCCCCUGUAUGUGGUGGAAGAA